Long non-coding RNA from Mastomys coucha (southern multimammate mouse), 227 nucleotides. RefSeq lists it as uncharacterized. Lineage: Eukaryota; Metazoa; Chordata; Mammalia; Rodentia; Muridae. The record is from RefSeq and is a predicted model, not a curated record. The transcript is spliced from 2 exons.
GGAGGAGGAGGAAGAGGAGGAGGAGGAGAUGAGGAAGAUUAAUUUCUAACUGAUUUCUUCAUUGGACUGAGGACUCUGAGCUUUUGAGUUAAGCAGCCUAUCCUUUGGAGAUUUCAAAUGACGUGGCUGUGCUACAAUUUCUGAAGAGAAAAAUACCAUUUAAAAUAUCUACGUUUAUCUUUAUUUUCAUAAUAAAAAACACUCAUAUGAGACAUUUCUACUCCUGA